RNAcentral lists this ribosomal RNA (577 nucleotides) under Pseudomonas sp. EECC-104. RNAcentral's name for it is "bacterial SSU rRNA". It matches the Rfam family "Bacterial small subunit ribosomal RNA", at positions 87 to 660 of the family's 1533-position model. Lineage: Bacteria; Pseudomonadati; Pseudomonadota; Gammaproteobacteria; Pseudomonadales; Pseudomonadaceae. The record is from RNAcentral.
UCUUGAGAGCGGCGGACGGGUGAGUAAUGCCUAGGAAUCUGCCUGGUAGUGGGGGAUAACGUUCGGAAACGGACGCUAAUACCGCAUACGUCCUACGGGAGAAAGCAGGGGACCUUCGGGCCUUGCGCUAUCAGAUGAGCCUAGGUCGGAUUAGCUAGUUGGUGAGGUAAUGGCUCACCAAGGCGACGAUCCGUAACUGGUCUGAGAGGAUGAUCAGUCACACUGGAACUGAGACACGGUCCAGACUCCUACGGGAGGCAGCAGUGGGGAAUAUUGGACAAUGGGCGAAAGCCUGAUCCAGCCAUGCCGCGUGUGUGAAGAAGGUCUUCGGAUUGUAAAGCACUUUAAGUUGGGAGGAAGGGCAGUUACCUAAUACGUGAUUGUUUUGACGUUACCGACAGAAUAAGCACCGGCUAACUCUGUGCCAGCAGCCGCGGUAAUACAGAGGGUGCAAGCGUUAAUCGGAAUUACUGGGCGUAAAGCGCGCGUAGGUGGUUUGUUAAGUUGGAUGUGAAAUCCCCGGGCUCAACCUGGGAACUGCAUUCAAAACUGACUGACUAGAGUGUGGUAGAGGGUG